Procambarus clarkii (red swamp crayfish) is the source of this 324-nucleotide long non-coding RNA. RefSeq lists it as uncharacterized. The record is from RefSeq and is a predicted model, not a curated record. Lineage: Eukaryota; Metazoa; Arthropoda; Malacostraca; Decapoda; Cambaridae.
CCUUGGGCAUCAGAACCUCGACACUGGCGAGAAGAAUGCAGCGUGUGUUUGUCUUGCUGGUUGUGGUGCUGAUGGUGGCGGCGGCUGUGGUGUUGGGGGUCGACCCAGAGCACCACAGAGAUGAGAGGGCUCUUAAGCUCCUCAAGUUCGUCAAGGGACUCAAAGCUGGGACCCUGGGGCUAGUCAAAAUAGGAUGAUGGAGCAAAUGAUCCUUGGUGGCACCGUUACACUGUCUUUCAUCUAUAAUCCCCUUGACGUCAGAAUUACCUUGAAUAUGUUCCUGAUUGCUGUGUUUUAUUUACAAUAAACAGAACCAUAUUUUUA